AUGGAAGAUUUGAAGACUUCAAAUUGCAUACUUGGAAGAUUUGAAGACUUUCGCUUGCAUACUUGGAGGAUUUGAAGACUUCAUCU
This 86-nucleotide microRNA precursor is filed under the name Solanum lycopersicum (tomato). RNAcentral describes it as "MIR8024 microRNA precursor family". It matches the Rfam family "MIR8024 microRNA precursor family". Lineage: Eukaryota; Viridiplantae; Streptophyta; Magnoliopsida; Solanales; Solanaceae. The record is from Rfam by way of RNAcentral.